RNAcentral lists this microRNA precursor (94 nucleotides) under Pteropus vampyrus (large flying fox). RNAcentral describes it as "miRNA (ENSPVAG00000027063.1)". The record is from RNAcentral. Lineage: Eukaryota; Metazoa; Chordata; Mammalia; Chiroptera; Pteropodidae.
AUAUGUGUGUAUGUGUAUGUGUAUGUAUACAUGUAUACAUAUAUGUAUGUGUACACACACACACACACACACACACACACACACACACACACAC